GGGGUGGGAGGAGCAGAGCCACGCCGGGCGUCGUGCGGCGCGCGGGCGGGAUGCUUCUGCUUGGAGAUUGUCUUGGGUUGGGGGUUGGGGGUUAGGGGUUGGUGAUGGGGAUCGCCUCUGUGAGCUCCUGGGGCUUGGUGCGAAACCCGCUUGCUCAGAGCAACGUCGCCGCCCUCCGGCGCGUUUUUGGAAGCAGAAGAAGAGGGUGGGGAAUGCAACCAGGCUGGGGGACCUGCUGCAGGACCAAGGGCGCUGGGCGGCCCGGCUGCGUGCAAUUUGCUGGAACGAUUUUGGCCAUCUGGGAACCCUGGAGUUCCGGGGUCAUGUCUGUUUUAAGAAGUACGAGCUGGUGCGUUCGGUGGCCAGGGGCGUUUCCCGGGACACCGUCCUCUUGGCUCCCUUGCUAGCCCCCACCGGUGUGUCAGAGGCCCAGCGGGGACUCCGGAGCAAUGCGUGGACCCAAGGCCAGCCUAGUCCCUGAACGUGGCCUCCAAGGGCCUGAGGGCUCACAGGUCCCACUGCUGGCAAGGCCUCCUGCCUCUGUCUGGACUCUCGCUGGCCCCUGUUGGCCCUGGACCCUGCGGGGGUUGCAGCUGUGCCUGGAGCCCACUCCGCUCUAACUGUCCCCGGGCAGGAGCAGAGUCCUCGUCCCUGGCCGCCUCCUUGGGAGGACUGAGCAAGUCACUGCCAGUUUCUGCCCCAGUGCCCUCACCUCGGCUUGGAAGAUGCCUGCAGUCGCCAGGGCUGGGCUGAAACUGAGGUCUGGGAACUCACUCCAGGUCUCCCAGAUGGCCACUACAGCGCUGAUCUGAAGUCAGGAGUCAGGUGCUUCCUCCUGGUCUCCCAUGCGGGUGCAAGGCCCAAGCACUUGGGUCAUCCUUCACUGCACUCCCGGGCCACAGCAGAGAGCUAGACCGGAAGAGCAGCAACCGGGACUGGAUCCCGGCGCCCAUAUGGGAUGCUGGCGCCGCAGGCGGAGGAUUAACCAGGCUGUCACAGAGACUCCUUCCACUGGAGGCAUCCGGGACACUUGUGCAUGGAAGAGCAAGGGAGGCCCCUGCACGGCACUUGUACAAUGUGCAAGGCUUUAGGUGAGCCAGAUCUGGAGGCAGUCUCUCCCUGCAUGCACCAUCCUCGUGUUCCUGGCCGCGGCAUAUAACUAGGAGCACAGUGCUGUCUGGAUUUCCCUGGAACUAUGCAGGCCUUCCCUUGGUGCAUCUGGGGAAGCUGUGUGCCUGCCAAUGAGGUCACAGAGCAGGCAGGAUGAGUCCCAGAUGUUGAACAUGGCAAUUUGCCUUGAACUUGCAAGAUCACAACCAGGAACAAAUGUAUAGAUUUUCCUCACUUAUUGUUUUCACAUGAAGCUGAGGGAAAAUCAAUGAUCAGUGAAGAAAAAGACAGAGAGGAUUUUUUUUUCCUUUUAAAAUGCAGAGAAGACUGGGGGCGGUGCUGUGGCACAGCUGGUAAAGCCACAGCCUGCAGCAUUAGCAUCCCAUGUGGGCACCAGUUCAAGUCGUGGCUGCUCCACUUCCCAUCCACCUCCCUGCUCAUGCGCCUGGGAAAGCAGCAGAAGAUGACCCAAGUGCUUGGGCCCCUGCACCCACAUAGGAGACUCCAAGAAAGCUCCCAGCCAGCUUCUGGCUUCAGAUCAGCCCAGCUCUGGCCACUGAAGCCAUUUGGGGGAGGGAACCAGCGGAUGGAGGACCUCUCUUUCUCCUCUCCCUCUCCCUCUACCUCUCCCUCUCCUCUCUCUCUAACUCUGGCUUUAAAAUAAAUAAAUAAAUAAAUAAAUCUUUUUUAAAAAGUAGAGCAGCAAAAGGAAGGAUUUGCAUGUGUUUGAAAUGAGGAUUGGGUGAAGAACUUCAUCUCAGUAGUACUGGUGAAUAUAAUUAGUGAACAAAGGUAUAUUAUUCUGGACUCUCUAAACAGUUUUGGCUCAUGCCGUAAUUCCAAUUAUCCUUAAUUACACAGGUGUCAUUUUACACUUACGUAGUCAUCCCCAGAGGAAUUAUUUUUCACUUCUGAUAAAUAGAUGCCUUAAAUGUGUUUUGGGUGGUAGUUAGAGAAGCCUGGCAGGUGGCUUCAUAAACUACUGCUGCCACCUAGUGGUGAUACCAAGCUGUGAGCGACGUAAACCUGAAACCACCGGAUGGUGGGUGCGACUGUGGUUCCAGGUUUUCAAGACGGCUUCGACGCAGCAGCUCAUGUGCAUGGUGCUGAUGCCAACAUGUUGCUGCAGUUCUUAUUGCUAAGAGUCUGCACCAGGGCUGUUCCACCCCCAUGGUGCCAUUCAGUUAGGUAGAAGGAUAAAUUAAUUACAGAAAGGCGUCAGGUGGCCUGGCAAGCAUUUCAAGAAAAAGCAAGUGGCCAAUAGCAGCCUGGACACCCCAGUCCCAUCCCUUUCUAUCUCUGCCCCAUUUCUUCCUGUAUUCCCUGCCGCAGCAACUUACCUGCCUGAUAUUUUAAUGUAGAUCUGGUUUUAAACGGUUUGCAAUUUCUCUCCCAUUCCUAGAAUUGCAUAAAAGCUCCCAGGCCGUGCUGUCUGGGAGAACCUCCUCUGAUGUGCUGCAGCCCUGGUAACCAGGGUACGGGCAUUUGGCCUUGCGGUUAAGCCAGGUUUGGGACACCCACGUUCCAUAUCGGAGUGCCCGGGUUAAAGUCCCGGUUCACUCCCAAUGCCAAUUGCUUGGUGAAGUGCGCCCUGGGAAGCAGCCAUGAUGGCUCAAGUAAUUGAGUCCCCACCACUCACAUAGGAGACCUGGAUUGAGCUCCAGGCUCCUGGCCUGGCCUGGCCUGGCCCCAGUCAUCAAAGACAUUUGGGGAGUGAACUAGCAGGUGGGACCUCUCCUCUCUCGCUCGCUCUCUCGCUCUCUCUCUCUCUGUCUCUGUCUCCUGCUUUCUCACUCUCAGAUAAUUCUUUUUUUUUUUUUUUUUUACAGGCAGAGAGAAAGGUCUUCCUUUGCCGUUGGUUCACCCCCCAAUGGCCACUGCGGCCGGUGUACCACGCUGAUCCAAAGCCAGGUGCUCCCAUGCGGGUGCAGGGCCCAAGCACCUGGGCCAUCCUCCACUGCACUCCCUGGCCACAGCAGAGAGCUGGCCUGGAAGAGGGGCAACCGGGACAGAAUCUGGCACCCCGACCUGGACUAGAACCCGGUGUGCCAGCACUGCUAGGCGGAGGAUUAGCCUAUUGAGCCGCGGUGCCGGCCUAGAUAAUUCUUUUUUAAAAAUGCUGGUAACCACUAGCCAACUGUGACUGUCACUUUGAACACAGCCAUUGAGGUUCUUCAUUUCUCAUUUUAUUUCAUUUUAAGGAAUUCCAGUGUAAGAAGCCACAUAUGGCUCGUGGCUGCUGGGGUCGCCAGCACCGCUCCAGGAGGCAAGGGCCUGGCCUGCUUUAUUCCCUGCAGCCUCCCCAACACCAGGAAGCAGCCUCCCCAACACCAGGGAGCAGCCUCCCCAACACCUGGACCCUGAGAGCUGCUCAUUAAUGGCCCAGGCCUUGCAAGGCUAAGAUUAUUGAAAAGGUUGCUCGUGAUAUAAUCCAAGCCUUGGAAGAAGGCAGACAGUCGGCAGGAUAAUAAAAUACAGGAGAUAUGCAAGCAACACAAGGGAUCUCAUGCAUUUCAGAUAAUCCACCUGGAGACCAGAUGACCGUAACGGCCUCUUUCCGUCCCACCAGCAGCGUCUGAGGCUGUGUCUACCCCAUCUCCAGCCAUGGUCUGGGCGAAAUAGGGAAAUCCACUCCCAAAGCCUAAUCCUGACAAAUCCUCCUAAGCCUGCAAUGCACACCCAAGGCCAUGGCCACAGGUGGUUGUUUCAAGGAGAAGAUGAGGGGCAAAAGGAUGAGGAGCAGGAGGAAGAGAGCCAAGAGGAACUGUUCUGCUGAGCAGGGUUCUUGGGGACUCCAGACAAACAUGGAGGAGACCCCGAAAAGACAGAUAAGCCUGAGCCCUAGGGAUAAGGUGUUCUACCCAUCAAUGGUCCAGGGGGUGACCUGGGUAGAUUAGUGCCCCCACCCCCUUUCACCCCAAAGAGACCAAAGGAUGAAGGAUGAAGUUAUGUAUGGACCCGAGGAGGUUUUCACUGAAACAAGGCAGGUGCACACGGAUCCCCGUGUCUUCCCAAAGCCACGUGGAAGGACAUGAAGGGAACAAGAAAGAGAAUGAGAAUAGAUGACAGACAGGAGGUGACAACAAAUGUGGGGAGUGGACGGGGAUUGAAGGAACGGGACUAAGCUGAGCUGUGAGAGCAAAGACCUGGCUGCCCGCAGGGAAGAGAACCCGGCCAGAAGAAACUGCCUCGCCCAAGCCCAGGGAGGUGCAGGGUUGAGGCGCAGGCACCUGCAGAGGGAGCGGAUAGGCGGAGUUACACAGGGCAAGGCUGCGAGCAGGAGUGGUGUAGAGCCUGGAAAAGGAACACAGGGGCCCCAGAUGCCCAGCUCACCCCCAAGCAAGGGAAUGACCCUCCCCUCCCCAUCUCAGCUGAAGACCGGAAGGCUUCUUCUAUAAGGAGGCUGAACCAGAGAAACGUCGGGUUUCCUGCUGCUCUUACCGCCUCGCCUCUGUUCUGAGGGUUCUGGCUGCAGGGCCCUUCUGCAGGGGAAGGCAUGGAGCUGGGGUUAUUUGGGGUGUUUGGCGGCACGAGAGGAGGGUUAGAGUUCUUUUGGAACGCUUGGGGUUGAAUCAGUCACAGUUGCUGUAAGACAAAGUAAAUAAAAGUAAGGCAAUCAUUUUAAAUGGUAUAACAAGGGAAAUUAAAUCAUACUACAACACACGUUUUAAAUGUGAAUGAUGUUUGCACAAUCAUAAUAAUGACAAUGCAAAUAGGUACAUUCAUUUAACAAAAAACUGUGAUACCAUAGUGGGAAGAGAGAAUGUGUAGUGGUUCAGAAAAAAGAUUUUUUUCUAAGAUUUAUUUGUUUACUUGAAAGUCAGAGUUACACAGAGAGAGGAGAGGGAGAGAGAGAGAGAGAGGUCUUCCAUCUGCUGGUUCACUCCCCAAUUGGCCGCAACAGCCGGCGCUGCACCAAUCUGAAGCCAGUAGCCAGGAGCUUCUUCCGGGUCUCCCACGCAGGUGCAAGGACCCAAAGACUUGGGCCAUCUUCCACUGCAUUCCCAGGCAAUAGCAGAGAGCUGGAUGGGAAGUGGAGCAGCCGUGGCUUUACCCACUACGCCACAGCGCCAGCCCCAGAAAAUAAGAUUU
Molecule: non-coding RNA, 5202 nt
Organism: Oryctolagus cuniculus (rabbit)
Lineage: Eukaryota; Metazoa; Chordata; Mammalia; Lagomorpha; Leporidae
Source: RefSeq, a predicted model, not a curated record